RNAcentral lists this ribosomal RNA (253 nucleotides) under uncultured bacterium. RNAcentral's name for it is "partial 16S ribosomal RNA". It matches the Rfam family "Bacterial small subunit ribosomal RNA", at positions 524 to 776 of the family's 1533-position model. The record is from RNAcentral.
UACGGAGGGUGCAAGCGUUAAUCGGAAUUACUGGGCGUAAAGCGUACGCAGGCGGUUUAAUAAGUGAGAUGUGAAAGCCCCGGGCUCAACCUGGGAACUGCAUUUGGAACUGGUCAACUAGAGUAUGAUAGAGGGUGGUAGAAUUUCAGGUGUAGCGGUGAAAUGCGUAGAGAUCUGAAGGAAUACCGAUGGCGAAGGCAGCCACCUGGGUCAACACUGACGCUCAUGUACGAAAGCGUGGGGAGCAAACAGG